This 7911-nucleotide long non-coding RNA is filed under the name Eucalyptus grandis. RNAcentral's name for it is "long non-coding RNA (EGRA_LNC007017)". The record is from RNAcentral. Lineage: Eukaryota; Viridiplantae; Streptophyta; Magnoliopsida; Myrtales; Myrtaceae.
CUUUUUUUUUUUUUAUUCUUGAUUCUGUUUCAAAUCUACUUCUAAGAACAAAAAAAUAGAAAUUUGAUUCCGGGAACAAAAAUUUUACCAAACGCGAUUCUGUUCCCAAACUACUCCCGGGAACAAAGAAUCAGAAUCUGGCCCUGUUUGAAUGGUUACCAAACAGGGCCUAAGAAUCAUCUAAUACAUCACAUAGAGAUUGAAACUGGUAUUUAACUCGAAAAUGAUGAUAUUGAAUCUCUAUUCUCUACAGAUGAAGAACCAUCUGAACAAACUCUCAAUGUCCUUCUAAACACUUCUUCUUCUUCUUCUUCAGUCUAGUAGGAUCCUCUGAGAAAUGCAGCUCGGAUAGUUAAAAAUGUUGCCAUCCUCGCACCUUUGAGUGUCUUUAGGCCCUGAACUAAAAGUCUAAAUAGUUUUAUGCUAAAAGGCUAUCCCUAAAGGGCUUAAACAAGAUGUUCUCCUAUUGUGGGAAGACAUAUUUGUAAGAAAUUGACUCUGUCUUCCCUAGUUCUAAGCCUAGGUCCAUUCAUCGUGGAAGAGUAGCAAUGAAUUUUAUUAUAGAUCAAGCAAUACAAUGGAGAUUAUAAUUAGACUCAAGUCACUCAAACACUUUCAUUAUUUUCAAAAUCCUAAUUACACUCAAUAACUCACCAAAUGUCUAGCCCCACAAACGAACACGCACGAAGUUGGGCUUCAACUCUCUUCUAUUGCACUCAAAGUGCCCGCGCCCCAUUCUCUUACUUCUUCGGACUAGCAAAACUUACUAAUUGUCUUAUUCACACGGAAUAUCUGUGCCCGUAUAUUUUGUCUUUAUCCUGCCAUUUUAAUAGGAAGAGUCCAACGUGCAGCAAUUUGAUAAAGAAAAGUCAAGCGUGGUCAAACCUUAAUAUUUAUCCAGCCAAAUAAAGACAAAUCUCCACGUAUACAUCUAUAUACCCUCCCAGAGAUUCUUUGAAUUUCUUUCCUAAUAAAUUGGGUUGACAAGCCAAUCUACAUCCUCGGAUCAAGUCGGGUUCUGUACAAUGACUCAAACUCAAAGCAUAAUAUGAACAAAAAUCCCUCUGCAAUAGCUGCACACAUCGAAACCGGUGUUAUGAGAAAAUGCAGAACUAGAACAAUGUUCCCCAAAGUAAGUUUAACCAAUUUUAAUUGGACCUAAAAUUGGUCCUAAGGAUGAUUGUCACUUGUUAUUAGAAUAAACCGUUUGGUUCUUGAAAAAGCUAGUGCUCAAAAUGGAACAAACCACAGUCUGUUAUGUGAUACUUGACGAAGAGCCUUGAUACAUGCAUUAGACAGAAUCAAUUUAUAGAUAAAGUUGCGUGCUAACUGACUAUUUGUUCAACAAUUGUUGCCUUGUCAAGGGGAAAUUAAACGAGCAUGGCAAUGAAUAAUUUGGUUGUGCAUGUGGUAUAUGAUCGAUGUCUUAACUUAAUCAUACCCACCAGAUACACUUGAAAGAUACCAACCAAAUUCUACCCUAUGCGACGCAAACAUAAUCCUAACAACUGAUUAUAGUAAUGCUAGUGUCCCUAUGCAGGAAUAGUUAAUUUCUUGUACUAAACGUUUACCUCGAUCAAUUGCGAACAUGAAGUUUCCAAUCUCUGAGCUCUAUUCAAUGAAAAAGCCCACUACAGAGCACCAUCAUCAGCAACAAGAAGGCACUGUCGCUCGACUCAACACUGAUUCUUCUCACCGCGUUCCCUCUUUAUUUGUUUGUCAUCAGCUAGCUUCCAGAUAUCCAACCAUCAAUGGAGUUCAAAAGAAGAGAGCAAGUGGAGAAGAGAUGCGACGCGUUUAGAAUGGGUCGAUAACCCCAAUGGCAUGUACUAUACCAAUGUGAAUUGACCUUCGAUCAUUGAUCAGCACAACUAUCCGAAAUUUGGAUUCCCGACACUGAGUUCUUGAAGGGAAGGUGGAAUCCUAAAGGGCGUGAGCUGCCUCAGUUCAACGCGGGCCAAUUCUUGGAGAUGGUUCGAGGGAAAUCGAUCGUGUUUGUUGGCGAUCCGAUAGGAUGGAACCAAAUGCAGCCAUUGUUAUGUCUUCUGGGUGGUGUAAGUGCUCUCAGCGUCAGCAUGACAACAUUUCUAUUUCUUUAAUUUUUUUCUUCGGAAAAGAUUUGCAACAUAAAUCUAUUUGAUAAUGCAGUUUCAUUUUCUUAUUUUUGGAAUAGAUUUCUAUUCUAGAAAUAAAUUUAAAGUAGAAAUCAGAAGCUAAAUUUUUAGCUUUUCUAUUUUUGGAACAAAAUUGAGAAAUAAAAAUUAUUCUCAUAAUUCACUCUUGUCACUAGCCGCUGCCCACUCGCUACCAUGGGACGUCGGCUGCUUGCCACCGGAUGUUAGCCGCCACCACCGAGAAAUAAAAAUUUAUUCUGUUAUCAAACAAAUUUCUGUUUCAGAAACAGAAAUUUUGAAUCGUUAUUAAGUGCGUUUCUUUGUUUAAAAACUCGUCUAGGGAAUAGAAAUUGAGAAAUUAAUUUCCGAUCAGAAAUUGAUUUCUGGAAUAGAAAUGUUAUCAUGUGUGCUCUUAAUUUCUUGGCUUUCGUAGCAUUUGCAUUUAAGGGCCUCCUUUGGCUAGUAAACUUAUUUGCAUAGUGACUAAUGCUUCAGCUAUUGUCACGAGUCGACAAUUCUUUGGUUGCGAAAUAACCCGUGAAGCACCCGGUGAGCCGACAACACCAAGCCAUUCUUCCUCCUUUAGUUAUUCGUAAGAACAGUACGGCAAAUUGCAUUUUCGUAUCGAAUCAUACCCCGCUUAGUAUAGCUUGGUAAUCCAAUCCAUGGAGCGAGAUAGCAUAUCACUUUGGGCAUAAUAACUAGUUUCAACUUUCAACCUAUUAUGACCUUAUCAAGAGAGUGGCAUCAACUCUCGAUCAGUUGUGCACGAGGAGCAAACCUGCAUUCGGAGCUCCGAAGGAUAUAUUCGUUCUAUCCUAGAAUUCUUAAUAUCAACCGUCCCGACACAACUCUCAUAGACUAGUUGUAUCCAUGUCCUUUACAUCACUAUCUCUUCAAUCAAUAACCCCAUCGUCCACUCAUAAGGGCACACAAGUAUGGGAAAAAUCAUGGACCUUGACAUUCUCUCCUACUCAUUUUUGCAACACCCUCAUCACAGGAUGUUCUGUCGGUUCCUUGUGUUUCCCAACCAUCAAUACCAUUCCCUGGGACUUACAUAGAUGGCAAUGCUUGUCUAACAAAAUAGGCCACCCUGCUCCAUUAGCAGCUUCCCUCAAUUAACGUCGAUCGCAAAUCUUCAGUCAUUUGUGCUCCUUGACAAGUAUGGCAUCCCCAACCAACUAUGCUCCCUUGGUAACACCUUCUUUCCCCUACUUAACUCCUCCUGAUCUCUGUAGACCAAUGGAGGGUUCUCCCCUUGUUGGAAAUGUGAUAAUAGACCUCUUCUUAAGAUUCGUCGAUUGAUCUGGGAACGUUAUCCCUAUCUAGUGAGCAAUUCAGUCCCUUCCCAUACCCCAUUGCCAUUCUAGAAGGUAGACGAGAGCUGCACGUUGUUCAAGCCCUCUUGGCCUCGACAAUCACUCUCUGCCCUCGUAGGCUUUCCCUAAAUCAACCACCUACUGGAGGGAUCUUGCUCUAAUGUCAUUUGUCAUGAGUCGACAGUUUCUUGGCCGUGGAAUAACCUGUAUGGCGCCUGGUGAGCCAAGAACACCAGCUCAACCUUCCUUCUUUAAUUAUUCUCAAGAUAACCUGUAUGGUGCCUGGGGAGCCAAGAACAUUAGCUCGGCCUUCCUUCUUUAAUUAUUCUCAAGAAUAGUCUAGUGAAUUGCAUUUCCAUUUUGGAUUGUACCAUGCCCAUAUAGCUUGGGCAUCCAGCACAUUAACUGGUUUCGGUCUACCAUGGUCUCAUUAAGAGAGCUAGAUUAACUCUCAACCAGUUUGUGCAUGUGAGGACAAUGUUGCAUUCGGAGCUUCAUUGAGAUAUAUUUGUUCUAUCUUAAAACUCGUUGCACCAACUAUCCUAAUGCCACUCUCACGGACCAAUUGUUUUCAUCUCCUCUAUAUCAACUCACUCUUUAUCCGAUAAUCACAAGCUCCACUCACAAAGGCACAUGAGUAUGGGAGAAUCAUGGAUGCUGACACAAGCAUGCAAGGUUGUGUUCAAUACUUUUUCAGUGAUGAUGAUUCGAAUUGAAGCUAAUUAUGUAGGUCUUGGUUCGGACGCUAGCACAUUUGCUCUUGAAAAUGGCAUUUCUUUGACUUCUCUAGGAAAGAAUGUGGCCGAAAUGAAGAAGUCUUUUGUUUCUAAUGAUGUGGAAUUCUAGAUUUGGAAAUGACGAUUGGAUUAUAUUUUUUAAUGCUAUAAGAAAUAACGAGACUAUUUACGGGCGACAGAAUAAAGCUCAAGGGACACGAUUUCGAGUAUUCCGAAAUGCUUUCUAGUGUAACUUCAACACUCAGCAUAUAAUAUAUGUUAUGUUUUCGACCCAAAAAAAAGUAGAGGAGUUCAGGGUGGCCGAAAGGGGGGAAUGGAGAGGGACUUGACAUUUUGACUUCUGGAUACCAUCGAGGCCUGAUCCUUAGACCGAUGGAUGCCUCAAUCGACGCGGGCGUUUGUCGGAUUGGAACAUGACGGUGGUCGAUUGCGAGCACUGGUGCGUGCCUGGUCCUAUCGACAUGCGGAACGAUUUCUUUUUCCAUUUUAUGAAGUUGGAAUGUCGAGUGUCUCUUCAGGUCAAAAGAAGGGUGCGUGAUAAUGAUGAUGGGGAAAAAUGAACCCUUUCGUCCUCACUUGAAUACUCAUAACAUGCAUCAUAUUUCGAGAGCAACGAAAUUUCAUAUGAUAAAUCUAUCCACAUAUAUCAGUAAAAUCUAUAUAGGUAACUCUAUCAAUAUAAUUUUAGAAUCCGUGCUAUCUUCGAAUUUGGUAAAAUUGGUUACUUGAGUUUUUCUCUUUAAUUGAUACUUUCUUGCCGAGCCGAAUUGCGUGACCUGCCCUUUUUCUUUUCCAAAGGGAAGUGAAAGAAGGAUUGGAGUUUGAACAUCCUCGACGAUUAUAUCUGCAGCAAAUGUCGUUCGAAAGCCAUUCCAUUACCUUUUUUGUUCUUCUCAUCACUUUGCCUUUAUCCUAAGAAACAAAUUUAGCAGGUCCUUCAAGGCUCUUUCCUCUCUUGCAUGUACAUCCUAUCUUUUUUAAUCUUCCACACCAUCUUCCAUGACUCUACCUUCACUAGUUCUGUCUCCCUUCCUUGCCUUCGAAAAAUUCUAGGAGUUCCCGGACGUUGAUCCUUUACUUACUUCCGAUUCAUAUUCCCAAAUCCAUUUUAAAUUGCCUUCCCCGUCCCUUCCUCAACUUCACUUCCAAUCCAAUCCCCUUCCAACUCUCUCUUUCCACUCGAAAGGAGAAAAAAACAUCGAUAUCGACCAGCUCCAUUUCCAUCGUUCCCGUCCUCAUCCCAAGUCUUCAUUUAAUUUCUCCUGGUAAACACCUCCUUCCCUUUUCGAUCCCAUCAAAAAAAGACCCUCGAGAUGGAGAAAAAGCCAGCGGGCAAUCAAUUCCUAGUGAUUCAGUUGCCACGAGUUGAAAACAUUAUACCUUAAAGAGUUCUUUCACUCCUCAGGUUUGAUUUUCCUACUUCAUUGUAAUAAUCAAUUUCCCUCUUUUUCUCAAUUUUCUCUAGUGAGUCAUCCCUAGUUGAGGAAAAAUAAAACGAAAAAAGAAAAAAAAAAGAAAAGGAAAUAUCUAUUAAACGCUGGUAACGAACCCACCAACCACCUAACAGAUAAUUAAUUUAAAUAAUGGGGAAGAGAUUUCUGCGAAAAGUCGAAAUCUUCGUCUGCAAGCCUUUUGGCAAACGCCGUCCUUCUCCUCCUCCUCCUCCUCCAUCUCCACCACCUUCGUCACUGCCGUCGCCGCCGCCGCCGCCCCCCACGUCUCCGCUGAAGCCCAAGUUCCCCUUUGUCUUCCCACGCGCCGAGUCCACGGUCCUCCCCGAUCCUUCUCCCUUCUUCUCACCGAGCCUCCUCUCUACCCCGCUCCGGACGAACUCUUUCUUCCAGAACUUUGCUCUCAACAAUGGCGACCAGGCUGAGUACAUUCACCCCUACCUUGUCAAGCCCUCCCCGUCCUCUGUCUCCAUCUCGUUCCCUUCUUGCGUCGCCUCCUCCGCCUCUUUGUACCAGGUGUUCAACGCCGACCUCACUGUCUCCGCUAUUUCGGGGGACGCCGCUGGACACGGCGUGGUGCCAGAGGCACCACAGCACAUAAUCUCGUCGUACAGCGACCUCAGCGUCACUCUGGACUUUGUGACUUCGAACCUAAGGUUCGUCCUCGUCAGGGGGAGCCCCUACUUGACCUGCUUGGUCGACCACGGGACGGAGGUUGCGAUCUCAACUAUUCACGCCAUCCUCUCGCUCUCUUCGAACAGUAGCCGCACCAAGCAUACUUUGAAGCUCAACAACAAUCAGACUUGGCUUGUUUACACUUCCUCGCCGAUCAGUUUCAGUCACAGUCUCAAUGCCAUUACUUCCUGUUGACAUUCGAUUUUUUGUCGACAUAUUUUGCAAGAAAAAUAUAAAAAAAUAAAGAGCCAAAAAAAUGAAUGAAAAAGAAUGAAAACAUUAAAAAAAAAUGUAAAGAAAACAAGAAAAAAAAGAAAACAAAAAUAAAAAAAAGGGAAAAAACGCUGAAAAAAAAAUAUAAAGGCUCGCUCAUUUUUUGGCGCCGGGGGGGGGGGGGGCUCACUUUUUUUGCGCGAAUUCUCUCUCGGGGACUCUCCCGCUACAUUUUCUCUCUCUAUCAAACUCUCUCUGGAGGGGACGCUCUCGAUGGGUGACAAUUUCUCUCUGUAACUGCUCGAUGGAGCUUCCAUGGCAGAUCUUGAAACCCUAGCCUCGCUCGCUGUCUACCGGAGGGAGCUUCUGCCUCCAUCUCCAGCGGUUCUCCGUCGAGCUCCCGACUUCGCUCUGUUCGAUUCUUGAAAUCUCCAGCACGCAGCAAAUCCCCUCGCCGAACAGAGCUUCCCUUUCCUUCGUCACUCUCUCUCGGAUUCUCUCUCUGGUUGGCUCGAUUGCGGCGACAUCGGCGAAGAAGGUGGUGGCGAUAGCAACGACGACGAUGGCGACAGAUGCUCUCUCUACAACGGUUCCUCCACUCCGAGAUCUGAUCGUCUCCAAAAUCCUAUCUCAGCUUGAUUCCGCCAUCGAUUCGACCUCUUCUAUUCAUCAUCAACCACCCGAGCUCUUGUCGAAGGCUAGGGUUUUCUCUCGUUAGCGGGGAUCAGAGAUCGAAGGCCGGUGGUGUGGGAUUGCGAGGAUCGGGUUCUUGCUCAUGGAUCAGAGAUGAGUUCUUUCUGUUUUCUCUCCUCGGUUCUCUCCCACGGAAGUUCGGUCUGCAAAUUUCUCUCUCUCGCUUAGAGGUGCAGGGAGCUCAGAUCUGAAGCUGAUCGGCGGUGACAGCGGUUCCCGAUCUGCGGCUUGAUUCGGCUCUCCACCGGAUCCGACGCCUAACCCCUGUUCGCUCGGCUCUCAGUCCUCUGGUGCAGAGGCUCGCCGGUGAUCUCUCUCUCUAGGGUGGCCGGAUCGGCGACAGCUAUGGGGACGACGACGUUUAACCGAGUUUCUCUCUAGAUCGAGCUCACCAGGGCGGUGAACUCUCUUUCCCUCUUUCUCGAUCUUCGUUCUCUCUGACUCGAACAUUUUCUUUCGGCUCUGUCUUGCGCGCUAGAUUUGACUUGCUGGAACGGCUGGUCGAGGAGCCCGGAGUUUAGAGUUCAGAUAGCGUCGACGGCAGCGACGACUUACGAUCCUUCGCCGAUUCAUUCAAGGUACGUUGAACAUAAAUUCAUCUUCCAUAUCCGGAUGUUCAUUGUGUUGAACAGUGACUGAGGAUUCUAAUUUCUGUUUGUGAGAAACUUACCUAUUAUCGAAGUUCAUUGGGUAAUCUAAGCCCGUAAUA